AUUGAACGCUGGCGGCAGGCCUAACACAUGCAAGUCGAGCGAGCGGCGGACGGGUGAGUAAUGUAUGGGAACUGCCCGAUGGAGGGGGAUAACUACUGGAAACGGUGGCUAAUACCGCAUACUAUCGGAUAACCCAUAUGGGAUUAGCUAGUAGGUGGGGUAAAGGCUCACCUAGGCGACGAUCUCUAGCUGGUCUGAGAGGAUGAGCAGCCAAACUGGGACUGAGAAACGGCCCAGACCCCUACGGAGGCAGCAGUGGGGAAGAUUGCACAAGGGGCGCAAGCCUGAGGCAGCCAUGCCGCGUGUAUGAAGAAGGCCUUAGGGUUGAAAAGUACUUUCAGCGGGAAGGCGUUACCCGCAGAAGAAGAACCGGCUACCUCGGUGCCAGAAGCCGCGGUAAUA
RNAcentral lists this ribosomal RNA (402 nucleotides) under uncultured bacterium. RNAcentral describes it as "partial 16S ribosomal RNA". It matches the Rfam family "Bacterial small subunit ribosomal RNA", at positions 29 to 525 of the family's 1533-position model. The record is from RNAcentral.